UACGGGGGGGGCAAGCGUUGUUCGGAAUUACUGGGCGUAAAGGGCUCGUAGGCGGCCAACUAAGUCGGAUGUGAAAUCCCCAGGCUCAACCUGGGAACUGCAUCCGAUACUGGAUGGCUUGAAUUCGGGAGAGGGAUGCAGAAUUCCAGGUGUAGCGGUGAAGUGCGUAGAUAUCUGGAGGAAUACCGGUGGCGAAGGCGGCAUCCUGGGCCUGUUCUGACGCUGAGGCGCGAAAGCUAGGGGAGCGAACAGG
This 253-nucleotide ribosomal RNA is filed under the name uncultured bacterium. Its description in RNAcentral is "partial 16S ribosomal RNA". It matches the Rfam family "Bacterial small subunit ribosomal RNA", at positions 524 to 776 of the family's 1533-position model. The record is from RNAcentral.